CAUUAACAUAGUUGCAUUUACUGUUGCUUUAUUUAUUCUGUUAGAGAAUAAAUUUGCCAUUUUGUUUAGGUGUUUUCUGUUCGGUGUGGACGUGAAUCUGUUCAGAGACAUUCUAUGACGUUGCGCCGGUUGUGCUUAUGCACCAAAGGUUUCUGCUGAUGAGAGAGGAUGUCACAGCAAUGGUGAAGCAAGGCCUUCUAUUGUGACCCCAGUAAACCUCAGAGGUCAAAGUGAUGAGCCAGGUUUACCACAGGACUCGCUUCAUUGUCCUACGUCCAUAGCCUUGCAUCCAAUGCUGUGCACAGUUCAUUGGAGCCUAACUACUGUUGACGUUUGGUGAGUGAUCAGGUGAACUGAUGCGGGGAACCAAACUUACGCUGAUCAUUCAUUAGUCAUUCAUCACUGUCACAGAGACGGCUCCUCCUCAGUGCAGCAUUAUACUUUGCCCUAAACAAGUUGUAAAGGCCUCUGCUCCUCCACGUCACAACAGUGAUGCUGUCCUCACACCAAAGACUGGCCAGAUACCUGGAAGCAGCAGUUCUACAGCCCGUGGAUCAUCAAAGGUCACAAUGUUACAUCUUCACAAUUACACUGUGCUCUGUUAAGAGUUUUGGUUUGUGCCCACAAUGGACGGAUUCA
This is a long non-coding RNA of Perca fluviatilis (European perch), 639 nucleotides long. RefSeq lists it as uncharacterized. The record is from RefSeq and is a predicted model, not a curated record. The transcript has 3 exons. NCBI's taxonomy places the organism in Eukaryota, Metazoa, Chordata, Actinopteri, Perciformes, Percidae.